CCUACGGGGGGCAGCAGUGGGGAAUAUUGGACAAUGGGGGCAACCCUGAUCCAGCCAUGCCGCGUGUGUGAAGAAGGCCCUCGGGUUGUAAAGCACUUUCAGUGAGGAAGAACGCCUGGUGGUUAAUACCCAUCAGGAAAGACAUCACUCACAGAAGAAGCACCGGCUAACUCCGUGCCAGCAGCCGCGGUAAUACGGAGGGUGCGAGCGUUAAUCGGAAUUACUGGGCGUAAAGCGCGCGUAGGUGGCUUGAUAAGCCGGUUGUGAAAGCCCCGGGCUCAACCUGGGAACGGCAUCCGGAACUGUCAAGCUAGAGUGCAGGAGAGGAAGGUAGAAUUCCCGGUGUAGCGGUGAAAUGCGUAGAGAUCGGGAGGAAUACCAGUGGCGAAGGCGGCCUUCUGGACUGACAAUGACACUGAGGUGCGAAAGCGUGGGUAGCAAACAGGAUUAGAUACCCGUGUAGUC
Molecule: ribosomal RNA, 465 nt
Filed under: Vreelandella stevensii
Lineage: Bacteria; Pseudomonadati; Pseudomonadota; Gammaproteobacteria; Oceanospirillales; Halomonadaceae
Description: partial 16S ribosomal RNA
Rfam family: Bacterial small subunit ribosomal RNA
Source: RNAcentral